Long non-coding RNA from Sander lucioperca (pikeperch), 758 nucleotides. RefSeq lists it as uncharacterized. The record is from RefSeq and is a predicted model, not a curated record. The transcript is spliced from 2 exons. Lineage: Eukaryota; Metazoa; Chordata; Actinopteri; Perciformes; Percidae.
UAGUUUUAUCUCAGACCACUUGAACCCGAGGGUUACUAUUAUUAUUAUUAUUACCACACAGCUGUAAGGGUUUAGAAUAAGGUUCCUAAACUGAGAAAUAACAUUAGCUAAUUCAACCCAGCAAUUUACGAUGCUCAGCUAGAAGAGGAGGCUGGAUGACUAAACAGCACGUCCACAUUGGCAACAAAUCCCCAGGUGAAGGUAGUGUGUUUUCAAAGAGGAAUUGUUCAACUAAGACAACUAUGCUGUUAAUUAUUGACAAUUUGGACAUACUUGGCAAAUACAUUUGGCUGGGCCUUGGUCAAAUAUUGCAAGUAGGAGCAUUCAGGGCUGUAAAUGUCUUGACUUGGGGUUAGAAACUAAAACAGAGGAGUAUUUAAAGUUUUGUUUUGUUUUUGUUUUUACAAGGGGGCUUACAGGUUAGGGAUGGUAAGGAUUUCCCUGCUGUCAGAAAUACCAGAAUUAAUCUAUGUAGGCUACAAAAGAAAAGUUUCAGUUUUGUUGGAAUUACAGCCAUCAAAGCUUUUUAAUCAUUCAACAUAUGGACAACCUCAAAACCACAAAAGCAGAAAGUACAAGAAACAAAGGUACCGUCAUGUAUCAUCUGUAAAACAUAGGAAGAAGAUAUAUACAGGAAAUAGUUAAAUAUGCAAGAAAAUUUUGAUUUGCCUCCCUUUUGAUCCUAAAACAGUCCCGUGUAAUGUAUGGUCCAACAAAAGUGGGUAGCACUUUCUAACAGGGCAACAGUAGUUUGACAA